RNAcentral lists this ribosomal RNA (330 nucleotides) under uncultured Actinomycetes bacterium. RNAcentral describes it as "bacterial SSU rRNA". It matches the Rfam family "Bacterial small subunit ribosomal RNA", at positions 28 to 351 of the family's 1533-position model. Lineage: Bacteria; Bacillati; Actinomycetota; Actinomycetes. The record is from RNAcentral.
GACGAACGCUGGCGGCGUGCUUAACACAUGCAAGUGGAGCGACGAACCGGGCUUCGGCCCGGGCGAAAGCCGCGAACGGGUGAGUAACACGUGGGUAACCUGCCCUGAAGACCGGGACAACCCGAGGAAACUCGGGCUAAUACCGGAUGUGUUCACUGUCCAUAAGGACGAUGAGAAAAGGAAGCUUCGGCCUCCGCUUCAGGAUGGGCCCGCGGCCCAUUAGCUUGUUGGUGAGGUAACGGCUCACCAAGGCUUCGAUGGGUAGCUGGUCUGAGAGGACGAUCAGCCACACUGGGACUGAGACACGGCCCAGACUCCUACGGGUGGCAG